AAAAGAAACUAACAAAGGAUUCCCCUAGUAACUGCGAGUGAAGCGGGAAGAGCUCAAAUUUAAAAUCUGGCGGUCUUUGGCCGUCCGAGUUGUAGUCUGGAGAAGCGCUUUCCGUGCUGGACCGUGUACAAGUCUCUUGGAACAGAGCGUCAUAGAGGGUGAGAAUCCCGUCUUUGACACGGACUACCAGUGCUUUGUGAUGCGCUCUCAAAGAGUCGAGUUGUUUGGGAAUGCAGCUCAAAAUGGGUGGUGAAUUCCAUCUAAAGCUAAAUAUUGGCGAGAGACCGAUAGCGAACAAGUACCGUGAGGGAAAGAUGAAAAGCACUUUGGAAAGAGAGUUAAACAGUACGUGAAAUUGCUGAAAGGGAAACGCUUGAAGUCAGUCGCGUCGUCCAGGACUCAGCCUUGCUUAUGCUUGGUGCACUUUCUGGACGGCGGGCCAGCAUCGAUUCUGACCGUCGGAAAAGGGCUGGGGUAAUGUGGCACCUCCGGGUGUGUUAUAGACCUUGGUCGCAUACGGCGGUUGGGAUUGAGGAACGCAGCGUGCCGCAAGGCAGGGGUUCGCCCACUUUUCACGCUUAGGAUGCUGGCAUAAUGGCUUUAAACGACCCGUCUUGAAACACGGACCAAGGAGUCUAACAAACCUGCGAGUGUUUGGGUGGAAAACCCGAGCGCGCAAUGAAAGUGAAAGUUGAGACCUCUGUCGUGGAGGGCAUCGACGCCCGGACCUGACGUUCUCUGACGGAUCCGCGGUAGAGCAUGUUUGUUGGGACCCGAAAGAUGGUGAACUAUGCCUGAAUAGGGUGAAGCCAGAGGAAACUCUGGUGGAGGCUCGUAGCGAUUCUGACGUGCAAAUCGAUCGUCAAAUUUGGGUAUAGGGGCGAAAGACUAAUCGAACCAUCUAGU
Molecule: ribosomal RNA, 906 nt
Filed under: Hornodermoporus martius
Lineage: Eukaryota; Fungi; Basidiomycota; Agaricomycetes; Polyporales; Polyporaceae
Description: eukaryotic LSU rRNA
Rfam family: Eukaryotic large subunit ribosomal RNA
Source: RNAcentral